Molecule: transfer RNA, 56 nt
Filed under: Thalassoporum mexicanum PCC 7367
Lineage: Bacteria; Bacillati; Cyanobacteriota; Cyanophyceae; Pseudanabaenales; Thalassoporaceae
Description: Pseudanabaena sp. PCC 7367 tRNA
Rfam family: tRNA
About the family: Transfer RNA (tRNA) molecules are approximately 80 nucleotides in length. Their secondary structure includes four short double-helical elements and three loops (D, anti-codon, and T loops).
Source: Rfam by way of RNAcentral
AGCAUAGUGGUAGAGCGUCUCCUUGCCAAGGAGAAUGUCGAGAGUUCGAAUCUCUU